GUCUACCCCAAAUCAAAGGAAACCUUACAAUAUCCAACAACGGAACGAUAAUGAAAUGAGCUUGGGUACCUUUACUGUCCAAUAAAAUCACACCCAGUGUCUACAAGUGAGAAUUAAGACUUUGCAGCAACAUGGAAAAGUGAUUAUAAUAUAAUAAUAACUGACAUGAUAUGAUCUUCAUUUUGUAGAAACACAGAAAAACAUAUUUGUGUGUAUAUAUAAAGCACAUAUAUAUAUAAUAUAUAUAAAACAUCUACAUAUAACAUUAGAAAGAAAUAUCCUGGGAGUUCUGUGUGGCGUAGCAGAAACAAACCUGACUAGGAACCAUGAGGUUGCAGUUCGAUCCCUGGCCUCGAUCAAUGGGUUAAGGAUCCGGCGUUGCCGUGACCUGUGGUGCAGGUCGCAGACGAGGUUCGGAUCUGGCAUUGCUGCGGUUGUGAGUAGGCCAGCAGCUGUAGCUCCAAUUUGACCCCUAGCCUGUGUGGCCCUAAAAAAAGCAAAAAAAAAAAAAAAAAAGAAAAGAAAAAAGCAAAAAGCAGAAAAGCAAAAAAGAAAGAAAUAUCCCCAAAAAUGUUAAUAGAAAUUAUCUCCGAGUCAUGUGAGUAAUUUUAAUUUUCUUCAUUAUAAGUUUAAAUGUUCUGUAUUUUUUAGUUUUUCUAUAAUGAGUAUAAGAUGUUUUUAUAUCAGGGAAAAUAUUACAAGAAAAAGUCAGAAACGUAACUGCAAGAUUCACGGAUUCUAAUUGAGAAAAACAUACACUUAAAAAAAAAAAGACUAUACAUGAUUAUAAAAAACCAGAAUUGUUUCAUAGACAGUGAAAUUCAAUAGGCCAUGUUUUUCAUUUUCUAAGUAAAAAAAAAUAGAAAACUAUAUUAUUAUUGGUCCCACGUCUUGUCAUUUAAUACUUUAGGAAGACAAUCCUAUAUAUUUUACUCAUAGUUUGUUGAAGGUAAUACAGCUUUAAAUAGAAAUUUAAAAUUAUGCCCACAUUUCACCAUCUCUACAUUAUUUUACGAUACCUCUCCCCGCCCCCGUACCCCAUCACAAUCAAACUUACUGAUGGCAGAUUUUUAAGAAAAAUCUAACUCGUGCUACUAGUCUGACAAGUAUUGCCCCAUACUGGAAGCAAGAAGAAUGCUUUCCAAGUGGUCAGUCGUCAGUCUUCUGAACUACAUCAAACCUGUUUUUCCAGCUUAUAAGUAACCUUUCAAUUAUGCAACUAAAAGUACAACCUAAAAAAAAUAGGUCAGGAGAGGAAAGUCUGACAAAUUCAUCCAGGUGAACAUAAUGUUAUCUUUCCAUGUGAGUGUAUAUUUCACCAACCAGGUGAUACUCAAGUUAAAACCAGGUAGGUUUAUCUGACACCAUGAUUAAAGACCUUCACAUCUAGAUAACUCAACCAUAAAAGAAUUUGUCCUUUUAUAGUUCUCAAAAGGCAUCUUGAGUUGAGCUUCCAUACUCUAGAAGCUCAAGGUAAAAAGAUUCAUGGUCAUCGGCGUUCACAGAGGACUCUGAUUUUCCGAGGACUCCGUUUUUUUUAAUCAUCCCCAAUUACUGCUUAAAUAAACUCCUACCUGGAUGUGCACUAAGGUGUUGCUAUUGUUGAGUGGGAGGAUUUCAGGUGAUUUUUCCAUUUUACUUUUCUGUGUGUUUCUCAUUUUCUUCAACAACCAUGGACAACAUUUAUAAUAAGUUAAAUAAGUAACAUAAAAAAUAAAACACUUAAUUAACAUGCCAUUUAAUUCACUUAAGUAGCAACUCAGGGUGGAUUAUGCUGGGCACUCCCUUACCGCAUUCCUCUCUGAAAGAAAAGGGCUGAAAGUCAGGGAGUAAAACCAACAGGAUCCAUCCCAAGCUUCUUAGAGAGCAAUGGAUAAAUGAGCUCACGAAUAGGAAAAGCAUUUUGCAGAGUAAGAACCUUAAAAAAAUAAGAUGCUAAUAGCCCUUUUUUUUUUUUUUUUGCUAUACCUGCAGUUCCUGGGCCAGGGAUUGAACCCGAGCCACAGCAGUGACAACACUGGAUCCUUAACUCACUAGGCCACCAGGGAACUCUCAAGAUGCUAAUAGCCUUGUGGGCCACUUCCUUUUCCUUGGGCAAAUCCCCACAGGUGUACAAACCCCAGCUUUGCAAAGAGUUGGAUUCUUUUUUUUUUUUUUUUUUUUUUUUUUGCUAUGAUCACAGCAUGUGGAAGUUCCCAGGCCAGGCCAGGGACUGAACCUGCAGCAACCCAAGCCUCUGCAGUGACAACGCUGGAUCCUUCACCUGCCAUGCCACAAGAGAACUCCAAUAGUUGGAGAUCUCAUUUUCACUCUUUGGGUCCCAACUCUGCCCUUACGGUGAGGAAACAAACAUGACGGGUAGAGUGUGGCUGUGUGCCCAUAACAAUUUAUUUAUGGAUAUCAUGAAAAUUACAUCCCUUAUGAUGUUCAUGGUCACAAAAUAUUCUUUUUUUUUUUUUUUUUCAACCACUUAAAAAUGGAAAAGCCACUCUUCACUCAUUGGUCAUUCAAGAGAGAUGGCAGGAUGUGGUGUGUGGACCACAACUGUAGUUCUCCCCUAAAGGAUAAAAAAAGGAUGGCAGAAGACAAAGGGAGAGAAAGGUUCUCUCAUCCAGAGUUUCCCAGAAUUCAUCAUUCCUGCAGCACCAUCACAAUUCUUGGCAUGUCUGGGUAUCCAAUGGUUUACCUACCACACAUACAACAGUUUAACCCAUGUUCUUUUACUUAAUACACAUUUACGUUAAAAGGGAAUUUUAGUUAUCACUAUUCAGAGUGGAGAACUCAGUUAUCUGAAACAGAAGGAAAUGGUGCAAAUGAGUGCGAAAAAGUUAAAUGCUCGUCAGGCCCGCUCGUCUCCCAAGGGCUCAGCACCUGAGGCCUUCUUCUCUUUGUUAAAUAGGAGGAAUCAGUGAGUCUGGACCGGCGUUAAGAAUGAACAGAGACUUUUUUCCUUAAUAUAAUCAGGCAGAGUGAAGGUGAACCCUGUUAGGGCUACUGAAUGCCAUGGCCAUGGCCAUGGCCAUGUCCCACCUGAAUCACCAAGCACAGGAACUCAAAUCAUCCCAGGCCACCUUCAAGGCAUAUUUUAUGGUGUUGGGCAUUAAACUGGUCCCCAAAUCCAAGACUUUCUUCGAUUAUUAUAUCUGGAACGAAGGGCCAUGUUCACUUUUUUUAGGACCAAAAUUUGCUUCCUAUGAACUUACCUAAACUUAAAACGUGGUGGGUGAGCAUUAGAGCACAUGGGAAGGUCAUAAAACCUCACUGAGUAUGUCCAAGAGAACAAGAGCAGAAUUAUCUUUUUUUUUUUUUUUUUUUUUUUUUCCUUUAUUUUCCGGCUGCACCCAUGGCAGGUGGAAGGUCCCAGGCCAGGGAUUGAACCCAAGCCACAGCUGCGACCUAUGUCACGGCUGCAGCAAUGCCAGAUCCUUAACCCACUGCCAAAAGUAGGAUUGUCUUUAAGGACAAGAGGAGAAUUCCUAAUUCGCUUUUCUGUUUGUUUCUAGGAGGCCCAUAACUAUCAUUAGGCUUAGACAGUUAAUUUGCCACCUCAGUCUUGUGAGUUUUGGGGUCACUUCCACAUCUAUUCUCCUGCUUUGGGGCUUUUAGAAUUGAAUUUAUGGCCUGUGAGAGUUCACCUCUAUUUUAAUUUUAGGUCCAAAGAAUGCCUGUGUUUUUCAGUUCCCCCCGCCCUGUAAGCAAUGAGAUUAAAUCAGUAUUUAAAUUUUGUGUGAAGUUUACCAACAUUUCCCACUCUUCAUUUUUGUUAUUGGUUUAAGAAUAAAAUUUUGUCUUAUUCUUUAACAUUAUAAUUGCUACUUAGGAUUCUAGGUUGUAAUUUUGCUGUUAUGUAAAUUAUAUCACUUCAGUAGCAAAACCCAGCAAGUAGUAUUUAUUUCCUUCCUCUGCCUUGAAAAU
Molecule: long non-coding RNA, 3915 nt
Filed under: Sus scrofa (pig)
Lineage: Eukaryota; Metazoa; Chordata; Mammalia; Artiodactyla; Suidae
Description: lncRNA (ENSSSCG00055000036.1)
Source: RNAcentral